RNAcentral lists this long non-coding RNA (1582 nucleotides) under Bos taurus (domestic cattle). Its description in RNAcentral is "long non-coding RNA NONBTAT021986". The record is from RNAcentral. Lineage: Eukaryota; Metazoa; Chordata; Mammalia; Artiodactyla; Bovidae.
UGAGGGCAACAUGCUAUAGAGAUGGUGGAGAUAUUUUAGUGGUCUCAGAGUUGGAAACACUGGAAUUGAUUGAGAUAGUGUGAUCUACGAUUUUGUCUACAUCUGAUGGUGUGUGUUCUCUAGCUACCAGAGGAGCAAAUUGUACCGCUUGUAAUGUGGAUAUUUAGCCCAUUUUCUAAUAGACUGGGAAAAAACAUCUGGACAUGGUUUAAGGAUAUGGUUUUACAAUACAGGCUGCAUUAUGCUGAUAUUCUAGAAGUUAUUAACAUGUUUUGCUUGAUUUAGAAAAAUGAACAUCUAAAGAGAAGCAGCACAGGCUCCAUUUACUGAAAUUCUGUGGCCCCACUUAGUCUCAACUCAGAAGUGUAGGCAGCCUUCUUACUCCUUUUGGUGCCAAGUGUUAAAAAAAAAAAUGUCUUGCAUUUGGUUAUCUUACAAAGGAAAGGCGGGGGUAAGGUGGCCUUGGCGACCUGUUACCUGCUGCUUUUCAUUCUGGGGACUUAAGUGAGCAACAGCAGAGCUGUCUGUAUAUGGUAAUUCUAUUAUAUUAAAAUAUGUGUCAAUAUUGCCAAAAAAAUGUGCUAAAAACCAGUUUAUGUGGAGCACUCAGAAGGCCUUCCUGGAAAGAUUUUCACUUACCACUUAUGUUAAGAGUUCAAAGUAUUUUAAAUAAUCUCUCUUGUGCAUGUCCAGCCUUUUUACUGUUGCAGAGCUUUUAUAACUGUUGUGACUCCUGGGUGCUUGGCCCUUCCUUUUACUAGUACUCCAGACUCCUCACCCCACUUCCAACAACAGACACAUGGCAGGGUUUACUCCCACACGCGUGUAGGCACAUUUGCAUCGUGGUGUCACAAACUCCCAAGAUCAACAAGCAGGACACCAGGGCUGAGAUCUCUAAUUUUUUAAACUAGUUGCAUGGCUUGGACAAAUUUCCAUCUCUUUAAGGAGGUAUCCUAUUUGUGCAAUGACACAGAGCUUAGCAACUGUUUUAUUCUAUAUAUAACGUGACUAAAUCAAAUUCACUUUAUUUUAGUACUUGGGUCAGAGGUCAACAGAAAAUUUAGAGUAGAAUUUUUUCAAACUUUACCAGUACAUCUGAGCCCUGGGUGGUUCUGAGGAAACAAAAUAGACAAGGAUAAGAACUGUUAGUAUUAAGAUGUAGAUUUGCAAAAAAAAAAAAGCAACAGGUAUUUGAAAGCAAAUUUCCACUGUUUCAUCUAGAUCUGAUUCUUGGUCAUCAGGACUAUUUCAGCCCCUGUCUAGAGUCAGGGUAGUUCUGUGGUGAAUCAGCACUCCUUUCCUGAAGGGAGCAUGUGCCUAUUAGCUCAUCUCAGUGAAUUCUGUUAUGAUGUCUGGCUUGAUAAAAAUCUGUGUGCAGUAAAAAUCAGUAAAAAGCCCAUCCCAUCUGCUUUGUUCUUAUAAAGUUCCACCAAAAGAAAUCUGUAUAAUGGAGGACUUUGUAUGUACUGGUUCACUGUGCCAGUUCACUUCAUAAAUUGUUUCUUUAAAGAUAUGAUUUUCUUGUUAUAGUUCUAUGCACUUAUUAUCUGAGUAACUGUUUAAAUAUACUUAAAUGUUUUCC